This 253-nucleotide ribosomal RNA is filed under the name uncultured bacterium. RNAcentral describes it as "partial 16S ribosomal RNA". It matches the Rfam family "Bacterial small subunit ribosomal RNA", at positions 524 to 776 of the family's 1533-position model. The record is from RNAcentral.
GACAGAGGUUGCAAACGUUGUUCGGAAUCACUGGGCAUAAAGCGCACGUAGGCGGCUAGCUAAGUCAGGUGUGAAAUCCCCCGGCUCAACCGGGGAACUGCGCCUGAUACUGGCCGGCUUGAGGACGGUAGGGGUGAGUGGAACUCCAGGUGGAGCGGUGAAAUGCGUAGAUAUCUGGAGGAACACCGGUGGCGAAAGCGGCUCACUGGACCGUCUCUGACGCUGAGGUGCGAAAGCUAGGGUAGCAAACGGG